This 424-nucleotide transfer-messenger RNA is filed under the name Pseudomonas fluorescens. It matches the Rfam family "transfer-messenger RNA". From Rfam's summary of the family: Bacterial tmRNA, also known as 10Sa RNA or SsrA, is named for its dual tRNA and mRNA-like properties. Its role is to liberate the mRNA from a stalled ribosome. To accomplish this part of the tmRNA is used as a reading frame that ends in a translation stop signal. Lineage: Bacteria; Pseudomonadati; Pseudomonadota; Gammaproteobacteria; Pseudomonadales; Pseudomonadaceae. RNAcentral also lists the same sequence under 1 other name. The record is from RNAcentral.
GGGGGCGCCUUGGUUUCGACGGGGCACCGACCCGGACAGGAGCAUGCGGCAGGGGUUACGGGCUGCCUUAAUAACCGUGACAGGUAUAUAAAUGCCAAAGCGAAAAGCAACGUGAUCGCUUUCCGUCCGCGCACCAGCGCUGGCGCUUACGCGAUGGCUGCCUAACUAGAACCUUCCCCUUGGUUGGGGAACUCUAGCUAACAGCUCCGGAAUACACUCUCUACUGUGUGGCGUGGUAGUGGGUUCCGGCCAAAUCUAAGCCACUCUAGGGCCUAGCGCGCCAAGCGUGUAACCCGAAACCUAUCUUGGCAACCUUGAGUAGGGGCGCACCCAGCCCAGCUCAUUGUACUUUCUGGGUGCUGAGCAUGGAGACCCUUACGGCGACGCGUUCCGGACGUGGGUUCGACUCCCACCGCCUCCACCA